Hippocampus zosterae (dwarf seahorse) is the source of this 219-nucleotide long non-coding RNA. RefSeq lists it as uncharacterized. Lineage: Eukaryota; Metazoa; Chordata; Actinopteri; Syngnathiformes; Syngnathidae. The record is from RefSeq and is a predicted model, not a curated record. The transcript is spliced from 2 exons.
GCCUCGUUAAGUCUCGCGACGUUUUUUUGUGUAUGAACACAGAGCCAUUUCAGAGCCCCUACCAAUCUGUAUAUCCAACUGAUAUUGGAAGCAUGAAUUGAAUUUGUAGGGGAAAAAAUGAUUUUCUUGUUUGGAUUAAAAACACUUCUAGGUGCCUGAAUAAUUUUAAAAAUGUAAAAUAAAGUGAAUCGGAUAAUAUGGUCAACAUAAAAUCUCAAA